UACGUAGGGUGCAAGCGUUGUCCGGAAUUAUUGGGCGUAAAGAGCUCGUAGGCGGUCUGUCGCGUCGGACGUGAAAAUCCAGGGCUCAACCCUGGACCUGCGUUCGAUACGGGCAGACUAGAGUUCGGUAGGGGAGACUGGAAUUCCUGGUGUAGCGGUGAAAUGCGCAGAUAUCAGGAGGAACACCGGUGGCGAAGGCGACCAUCUGGACGACAACUGACGCUGAGGCGCGAAAGCGUGGGGAGCAAACAGG
This 253-nucleotide ribosomal RNA is filed under the name uncultured bacterium. Its description in RNAcentral is "partial 16S ribosomal RNA". It matches the Rfam family "Bacterial small subunit ribosomal RNA", at positions 524 to 776 of the family's 1533-position model. The record is from RNAcentral.